CAGGAUGAACGCUAGCGGCAGGCCUAAUACAUGCAAGUCGAACGGUAAGAUCCCUCGGGGGAUGAGAGUGGCGGACGGGUGCGUAACGCGUAUGCAACCAGCCCCCCUCACCGGGAUAGCCGGUGGAAACGCCGGAUAAUACCGGAUGCGCCCGCGGGGAGGCAUCUCCCUCGGGCAAGGCGGCGACGCGGAGGGGGACGGCAUGCGUGCCAUUAGCUUGUUGGCGGGGCGACGGCCCACCAAGGCGACGAUGGCUAGGGGAUCUGAGAGGACGGUCCCCCCACACUGGUACUGAGACACGGACCAGACUCCUGCGGGAGGCAGCAGUAAGGGAUAUUGGGCAAUGGGGGGAACCCUGACCCAGCCAUGCCGCGUGAGGGAAUGAGGCCCUACGGGUCGUGAACCUCUUUUGCUCGGGGACAAGGACGGCGUCGCGAACGCCGUUUGAGGGUACCGAGGGAAUAAGCGUCGGCUAACUCCGUGCCAGCCGCCGC
Molecule: ribosomal RNA, 494 nt
Filed under: uncultured bacterium
Lineage: Bacteria
Description: bacterial SSU rRNA
Rfam family: Bacterial small subunit ribosomal RNA
Source: RNAcentral